CGGAUUUUCGAGAGUUUCCCUCGAUUUAUAUGGGAUCCCAUCAUCAGAUCCUGGUUUCCUUAUCACGGUACCAAACUAGGGAUAUCCCUUUUCCAACAAAAAAAGAAUUAUCAAAAUCGGUACAUACAGUAGAAAGUUAUGCGGUAUAAUACAACGUAGGUCGACGAAAAAAGCGUCAAGUAAAAACGCAUUAUUAGAUAUAGCUCGA
Molecule: unclassified non-coding RNA, 208 nt
Filed under: Melitaea cinxia (Glanville fritillary)
Lineage: Eukaryota; Metazoa; Arthropoda; Insecta; Lepidoptera; Nymphalidae
Description: misc RNA ENSMCXG00005006084.1
Source: RNAcentral